GAGAGAAGCCCGACGGCAAUAGAGACUGCUAAUCUUCUACCCCCUACGGUUAAACCCCGUAGUUCACUCG
RNAcentral lists this transfer RNA (70 nucleotides) under Thaleichthys pacificus (eulachon). Its description in RNAcentral is "tRNA-Ser". The record is from RNAcentral. Lineage: Eukaryota; Metazoa; Chordata; Actinopteri; Osmeriformes; Osmeridae. RNAcentral also lists the same sequence under 1 other name.